Molecule: transfer RNA, 83 nt
Filed under: Schistocephalus solidus
Lineage: Eukaryota; Metazoa; Platyhelminthes; Cestoda; Diphyllobothriidea; Diphyllobothriidae
Rfam family: tRNA
About the family: Transfer RNA (tRNA) molecules are approximately 80 nucleotides in length. Their secondary structure includes four short double-helical elements and three loops (D, anti-codon, and T loops). Further hydrogen bonds mediate the characteristic L-shaped molecular structure. tRNAs have two regions of fundamental functional importance: the anti-codon, which is responsible for specific mRNA codon recognition, and the 3' end, to which the tRNAs corresponding amino acid is attached (by aminoacyl-tRNA synthetases). tRNAs cope with the degeneracy of the genetic code in two manners: having more than one tRNA (with a specific anti-codon) for a particular amino acid; and 'wobble' base-pairing, i.e. permitting non-standard base-pairing at the 3rd anti-codon position.
Source: Rfam by way of RNAcentral
GACCUCGUAGCUCGGUUGGUAAGAGCGAUGGCUGUAUUAUAGCCUUCCCCUUGCUGGCGUGGGCUCGAAUCCCACUGAGGCCG